GCCCGCCUAGCUCAAUCGGAUAGAGCGUCAGACUCUUAUACAGUGGAGAUGACGAUGUAGGCAAUCUGAAGGCUGCGAGUUCGACCCUCGCGGUGGGCU
Molecule: non-coding RNA, 99 nt
Organism: Lentinula guzmanii
Lineage: Eukaryota; Fungi; Basidiomycota; Agaricomycetes; Agaricales; Omphalotaceae
Source: the annotation of a GenBank genome assembly